CCUACGGGUGGCUGCAGUGAGGAAUAUUGGUCAAUGGACGCAAGUCUGAACCAGCCAUGCCGCGUGCAGGAUGACGGCCCUAUGAGUUGUAAACUGCUUUUGUACGAGGGUAAACCCCGAUACGUGUAACGGGUUGAAAGUAUCGUACGAAUAAGGAUCGGACAACGCCGCGCCAGCAGCCGCGGUAAUACGGAGGAUCCGGUCGUUAUCCGGAUUUAUUGGGUUGAAGGGGUACGGAGGCGGUUUGGUAAGUUAGAUGGGAAAUGUCGGGGCUCAACCCCGAAACUGCCUCUAAUACUGUUGGGCUAGAGAAUAGUUGCGGUAGGCGGAAUGUAUGGUGUAGCGGUGAAAUGCUUAGAGAUCAGACAGAACACCGAUUGCGAAGGCAGCUUACCAAACUAUAUCUGACGUUGAGGCACGAAAGCGUGGGUAGCAAACAGGAUUAGAUACCCGUGUAGUC
Molecule: ribosomal RNA, 460 nt
Filed under: uncultured bacterium
Lineage: Bacteria
Description: partial 16S ribosomal RNA
Rfam family: Bacterial small subunit ribosomal RNA
Source: RNAcentral